GGAAGUAGUUCAGUGGUAGAAUACAACCUUGCCAAGGUUGGGGUCGCGGGUUCGAAUCCCGUCUUCC
RNAcentral lists this transfer RNA (67 nucleotides) under Bacillus thuringiensis. Its description in RNAcentral is "tRNA-Gly". It matches the Rfam family "tRNA". Rfam says of the family: Transfer RNA (tRNA) molecules are approximately 80 nucleotides in length. Their secondary structure includes four short double-helical elements and three loops (D, anti-codon, and T loops). The record is from RNAcentral. Lineage: Bacteria; Bacillati; Bacillota; Bacilli; Caryophanales; Bacillaceae. RNAcentral also lists the same sequence under 2 other names.